Molecule: long non-coding RNA, 654 nt
Filed under: Helianthus annuus (common sunflower)
Lineage: Eukaryota; Viridiplantae; Streptophyta; Magnoliopsida; Asterales; Asteraceae
Description: hypothetical non coding rna
Source: RNAcentral
GUAUCAUCUAGAAAAAAGCUUUUCCAGAACGAAACUAUUUCUCCAUUUGAUAAUUGUACAAAAAUCUUCCUUUUAUUACUUCCCAACAAUUCCUUAUUCGUAUCAUUGCGGAGGCUAGAUUCUCUGUCAUCUUCAUCUUCGGAGCCUGAUAUACUUGAUAUAUCAUAAUCUUUAACCAACGAAUCUGAUGUCCAUUCAUCGAAAUCAUCCUCUUUCACAGUAUCCUUUCCAGCAACCAAUUCACAUUGAUUCGAUGAAAAUCGGACUUGAAAUGAGAGCGUUGAUCUAGAAGAGACUCGAAACUGGAUUUACAAGUAUUACACGUCCAUUUCUCACUAGAACUGACACUUUUAUCCUUCGUCGAUUCUUCUUCUUCUUCUAGGUUAUUUUCCUUAUUAAUAGUGGCAGUUGUUGCGAGUUCAGGAAUAAAAGCGGUUGAAGAAGAUUCAAGGAGGCGGCAUGAAUCGAAGAAAUCCGACGGAAGAUCGAAGAUCGAACGGAAUAUCCUUUUAGGUUGAGUAUGUUGCUCUGAACUGACGGCGGUGGCACGGCGGCCGGAAGUAAGCUCCGGUACCGUAUUCAUCGUUGUUAGUCGGGUUAUGAUAACCGCCUGUAUCUAGGGUAUGAAUUCAGUUCCUGUGCACAAGUCGGGAU